Long non-coding RNA from Quercus lobata, 251 nucleotides. RefSeq lists it as uncharacterized. The record is from RefSeq and is a predicted model, not a curated record. NCBI's taxonomy places the organism in Eukaryota, Viridiplantae, Streptophyta, Magnoliopsida, Fagales, Fagaceae. The transcript is spliced from 3 exons.
CUUCUUCUUCGGGCUCUAUCUGGUUGUUUUGGGGACUGGUGGGAUCAAACCUUGUGUUGAUCAGUACUGCCUUGAUGAUUUAGGAGCUGGCAGAACCAUCAAUAAGAGAUGCAUUUGUUUCUUGCAUUCAACAAGGUGCAGAUCGUGUGAUUGUAAGCCCAUUUUUUCUCUUCCCUGGACGACACUGGCAUCAGGAUAUUCCUUCGUUAGCUGCUGAAGCUGCAAAAGAACACCGUGAUGUGUCAUAUAUC